GUGGCUAUAGCUCAGUUGGUUAGAGCGCCGGAUUGUGAUUCCGGAGGUCGUGGGUUCGAAUCCCAUUAGCCACCCCU
Molecule: transfer RNA, 77 nt
Filed under: Planctomycetaceae bacterium
Lineage: Bacteria; Pseudomonadati; Planctomycetota; Planctomycetia; Planctomycetales; Planctomycetaceae
Description: tRNA-His
Rfam family: tRNA
About the family: Transfer RNA (tRNA) molecules are approximately 80 nucleotides in length. Their secondary structure includes four short double-helical elements and three loops (D, anti-codon, and T loops).
Source: RNAcentral